AGUGAACGCUGGCGGUAUGCCUAACACAUGCAAGUCGAACGAAAGCACAGUAAGCGCUUGCUCUUACGGUUGGCGAGGGGCGGACGGGUAAGGAAUACAUCGGCAUCUACUUUUUCGGGGGUGAUAACGUAGGGAAACUUACGCUAAUACCGCAUACGACCUACCGCUUGAAGCAGUAGAUCUUCAGACCUUUGGUGACUGAAUGAGCCGAAGCCGGGUUAGCUAGUUGGCGGGGUAAAGGACCACCAAGGCGACGAUCCGUAGCCGGUCUGAGAGGAUGAUCAGCCACACUGGAACUGAGACACGGUCCAGACUCCUACGGGAGGCAGCAGUGGGGAAUCUUGCGCAAUGGGCGCAAGCCUGACCGAGCCACGCCGCGUGAGUGAAGAAGGUCUUCGGGUUGUAAAGCCCUUUUGUUGGGGAAGAACAGAAGCGUGUGAAUACCUCGCUGUCCUGACGGUACCCAAAGAGUAAGCCCCGGCUAACUUCGUG
This 492-nucleotide ribosomal RNA is filed under the name uncultured bacterium. RNAcentral describes it as "partial 16S ribosomal RNA". It matches the Rfam family "Bacterial small subunit ribosomal RNA", at positions 29 to 507 of the family's 1533-position model. The record is from RNAcentral.